Molecule: small RNA, 551 nt
Filed under: uncultured fungus
Lineage: Eukaryota; Fungi
Description: eukaryotic LSU rRNA
Rfam family: 5.8S ribosomal RNA (bases 201-354)
Source: RNAcentral
AUCAUUAAAAAUGUAACCGGACCGGGACGUCGGGGGCGAGAGCCCCCGGCGGACCGCGAAAGGAGAUAUCAUACACCCUGUGUUUAUUUACCUUUGUUGCUUUGGCGGGCCGUCCGUAAGGCGUCGGCCCCGGCUGACCGCGCCCGCCAGAGGACCCAAACUCUUUUAUCAGUGAUGUCUGAGUACUAUAUAAUAGUUAAAACUUUCAACAACGGAUCUCUUGGUUCUGGCAUCGAUGAAGAACGCAGCGAAAUGCGAUAAGUAAUGUGAAUUGCAGAAUUCAGUGAAUCAUCGAAUCUUUGGACGCACAUUGCGCCCGCUGGUAUUCCGGCGGGCAUGCCUGUUCGAGCGUCAUUAUGACCAAUCAAGCUCUGCUUGGCCUUGGGGCCCGCUGUACCGGCGGCCCUUAAAACCAGUGGCGGUGCCGUCUGGCUCUAAGCGUAGUAAUACUCCUCGCUACAGGGUCCAGCCGUCCACCCGCCAGAACCCCCAACUUUCUCAAGGUUGACCUCGGAUCAGGUAGGGAUACCCGCUGAACUUAAGCAUAUCAU